This 138-nucleotide small nucleolar RNA is filed under the name Ornithorhynchus anatinus (platypus). The record is from RNAcentral. Lineage: Eukaryota; Metazoa; Chordata; Mammalia; Monotremata; Ornithorhynchidae.
CCCUUCUCAGGAUCGUAUCUGGAGAGUUUCCAGUACUCUACCAGCCUCAGCUAUGGGAGGAAGAAUCAAGCAGAGACAUACACAUUCCAUUCCUAGCUUGUCCAGUGGCUAGCGAGUGAAAAGCAAUCUGCUACAAGU